Molecule: ribosomal RNA, 283 nt
Filed under: Paractinoplanes atraurantiacus
Lineage: Bacteria; Bacillati; Actinomycetota; Actinomycetes; Micromonosporales; Micromonosporaceae
Description: Actinoplanes atraurantiacus 16S rRNA. Bacterial SSU
Rfam family: Bacterial small subunit ribosomal RNA
Source: RNAcentral
UUUUGUUGGAGAGUUUGAUCCUGGCUCAGGACGAACGCUGGCGGCGUGCUUAACACAUGCAAGUCGAGCGGAAAGGCCCUUCGGGGUACUCGAGCGGCGAACGGGUGAGUAACACGUGAGUAACCUGCCCUGGACUUUGGGAUAACCCUCGGAAACGGGGGCUAAUACCGAAUACAACCUCUCACUGCAUGGUGUGGGGGUGGAAAGUUUUUCGGUCUGGGAUGGGCUCGCGGCCUAUCAGCUUGUUGGUGGGGUGAUGGCCUACCAAGGCGACGACGGGUAG